This is a non-coding RNA of Phascolarctos cinereus (koala), 341 nucleotides long. The record is from RefSeq and is a predicted model, not a curated record. Lineage: Eukaryota; Metazoa; Chordata; Mammalia; Diprotodontia; Phascolarctidae.
AUGACAUUUUAGGAAAAAAUGAAACAAGUCAGAGUGUGUCCAGAAGAAAGCAACAUUCAGCAAAAAGAUUUAUUAAAGGACCUGAGGACCUUUAUCCUGGAAAAGAUAAUUCUUAGGAAGGAAAUCAUUGCUGUUUAUGAGAAAACUGAAUCCCAGAAGGCCGAAGGUCAUGGAGGUUGGUUUUGGUGAACAAAGUACUUUGUGAGCAUUGAAGGUCUAUUGAAAUGUGACCUGUUCUCCUCACAUACUUCGCUGGGCCUGAGUUUGGGCACAAUCAGCUGAAAGGGACUGCAUUGCAGUUCGAUGGCAGCUCUGCCCUCCUGUCGGCAUUUUCUGGCAUU